AUGAUGACAUCUAUUCUGGGUGUGGCCGUGAAUUGGAUGGAGUAUAAUGAGCUUAGGGAAGAAGAUACAGCUUCAGCCCAUUUGCUCCUGAGUUUGUGCGAGGCCAGGAUGUUUGCAUCGGCUUUUCAGUUUGUGGUGAGAUUGUGUGAUGUUCUGAGGACUCCACAUCGUCAGCCUGGUCCUCCCGAGUCGCUACGACAGCAGCACCAGAACCUGAACGCUCGCGAAGUUGUUCUUCAGACUCUCCAACAUAACCUUCAGACUCUCCAACAUAACCUUCACACUCUCGAGACCACACUCACCCAGAAGGACAACGAUCUGAGAGUGCUGAGCACCGAGCUUGAUGGUACGCAGAAGACGCUGGAAGACCAGACCGCUUCGCUCCUCACUAACCGGAGGGACCUUGAUCAGACUCGGCAAGGGCUGAUUGCACGUGAAGCACGACUGGUCGCAUCCGAGACGGCGCUGCAGCAACUCCAUAACCAGCUUGUCAAUCGACGUGAAGAGUUGAUAGACCUGCAAAUCCAAGUCGUGCAUCUCACUAUGCUGCUCGACGAGAUGAAUGGCAUUGUCGUGCCACCAGCUGAAGCUCCGCUGCAGCCUCUGCCACCUGCUCGGGCUGGCCCCGGACCAGGACUCCAAGCCCUGAUUCUCCAGUACGGUACCAUGGCCCCUCAAGUCGUUGGAGGGAUUAACCGCCGCAUUGGUGCAGCUCAAGGCCCAGCUCAAGGCGCUGCUCAAGCCCCAGCUCAAGGCGCUGGCGCUGAUGAUGGUGUCCCUGCUAAAGGAGCGGCUCAAGCUCCAGCUCAAGGCCCUGGCGCUGCUCAAGUCCCAGCUCAAGGCGCUGGCGCUGCUGAUGGUGCCCAAGGCGCUGCUCAAGCCGGUGCUGGUCAAGACGUUCACGGCGCUGCUCCAGAUGUGGAGUGA
RNAcentral lists this ribosomal RNA (927 nucleotides) under Triticum aestivum (bread wheat). RNAcentral describes it as "partial small subunit ribosomal RNA". Lineage: Eukaryota; Viridiplantae; Streptophyta; Magnoliopsida; Poales; Poaceae. The record is from RNAcentral.